Molecule: long non-coding RNA, 11345 nt
Filed under: Prunus persica (peach)
Lineage: Eukaryota; Viridiplantae; Streptophyta; Magnoliopsida; Rosales; Rosaceae
Description: long non-coding RNA (PPER_LNC003990)
Source: RNAcentral
UGCUGGGAGGGUCUGGGAGGCGCUAGGUGGGUCUGGGUGGAGCUAGGCGGGUCUAGGCUGGUCUAGGCGGGUCUGUGAGGAGCUAGGCGGGUCUAGGCGAGUCUAGGCGGCGCUAAGCGGGUCUGGGUGCCAGGGUGGGUCUGGUUCUUUUCUUUUGUUCUUUUAUCCUACCGCCAUGGCCAUUUUUCAAACUUCAUCCAUCUUUGCUGAGGACUUAUGUCCCUUAAUUGUGUACUGUGUGCUGUGGCUGUAAUUUACAUCCCACUUGUUGAAAGCAUUCCCUCAUGUUGCAGUUGCCUAAAUCAACAAUUUUAAGCUUUGUUGAGAGAUUCCCAAAGAAAACAGGAAGCGUGGCAUUUAAUGGAUUACCUUCCAAGCUGAUCACCGACAAAUUUCUAAGACUAGCCAAACAAGAGAGGAAGUUUUUUACCGGAAUAGAGGCAUCAAUCGUCAAAUUAUUCCACUGUAAGUUAAGCCACUGAAGGUUUGUAAAGGCACGUAGUGUCAUAGGAAUAAAACCGAAAAACGAGUUAGUGGGGAUGGUUCCACUGAGCUUAUUAUCUCCUACAAGAAGUUGUUGCAGGUCUGGAACCCCCAGUGCCUAUGUCUGCUGGGAGGCUACCUGAGAGCUGAUUACUAAAUAGAGAAAUAAAUUUUAUCAUGGAUAAAUUAAAGAUUCUGGAUGGGAUGACACCAUUGAGAUUAUUGACAUGGAGUGCUAAACCCUGUAAGUUGUGUAGAUCGCCAAUCUCAUCUGGUAUUUCACCUGCCACAUACAAUAAACCCGAGCACCCAAGUUUAAUCUUAUAAAAACUUAAAAUGGAAUAUCUUUUUUAAGCAAACUGAGGAAAUAUUGGGCAUAUGAAGAGGAGAUAGGAGGAUGUGGCUGGUUAUUAUUGUAAGGUAGAAUGUUUUUGUAUUGACAUAUACUUUUACUAUAUAUAGUAUGUUAAGCAUAAAAAAUAAAAAUAAAAAUUGAGUUGAGUUGAGUUGAGUUGACAUAUAUAUAGUAUGUUUUUGUAUUGACAUAUAUUAUUGCAAGUAUACCAUCAAGUUGUUGUGUACAUGGAUGGUAUGUUUCCAGUCAAAUUGUUUUUAUUCAACUUUAGUACAAGAAGUUGUCUACAUUGCCAUAAUUUAGAUGGAAGUGGACCAUCAAGUUGGUUGUUACCCAAACCCAGCCGUUGAAUACUAGGAAGAUGCUCACAUAUGUUGUCCGGAAGAUUACCAAUAAAGUCGUUUUCAUAUAGGGCCAAAACAAUCGAAGAAGACAUGUUGAAGAAACCCGCAUGAACAAUAUUUCCCUUCUAGGGCAUUCCACUGCACAAACAACUUCUCUAACUCAUCUAAACUGCCGAUCUCGUUUGAAAUUUCUGAAAAAUCAAGUGUAUAUAUUUAACCUCAUUAUCAUUAACCAGCCCCUAAGAUUAUAUGUAUAAGCUGUUCAUGAAUACUAUAUAAUGCUCUGCAACAAAAUGCCGAGUCGUAUAAGAAUAGCAUACCUUUGAAAUUGUUGGAGUCAAGAUGUAUCUCCUUGAGCAUUGUUAAUUUCCCUAUUUCUCUUGGUAUGAUCCCUGUUAAAUAUGUGCAUAUGCCACAAAAAAAGAAGAGAGAAGGAAAAACAAAAGAAUUAACUAAUGUUAAAUGGUAAUAAUCAAUUCCUAGAUAGCUGUUUGUUGGCUCGUACCUGAUAGUUUGUUAUUGCCCAAAUCGAUUGUUUGCAAUGCAGAUAAGUUGAAGAUAGCAGUGGGUAUGGAAACUGAGAAUUGAUUAUCAUACAAGUCGAAUGUUUGAAGUCAUGAAUUAUGUGGAAUAUCAGUAGUUCUUGUCUUUAGAGUGGAAUAUCAGUACUAAUACGAAUACUAAUACUAAAUAUGUUGGCCAUAAAUUAGUAGUGCUUGUCUUUAGAGUGAUAACCGACCAAUAAAGUAUAAAUUCUUAAGGUGGUAAACAAUAUUUUCUGUGUAUUCAAGAUAUAUAGUAGUAACUAAUAAAGUAGAAGUUGUUGGUUGAUUUGCAUUGCUCUGAUUUCUAAGCAUAUUAAACAUCAGAAGCCAGAGAGUUUGACUAUUAGACAGAGAUAGGUAAUCAGCUAAGCUCUCCAGCAUGUACACACCUUGGAGUUCCGCAAUGCAUGUUCUCAUUUUAAUUAGUUGGAUAGAUCCAUACAAUUCUUUGUAACUCAAAUCUUAGGCAUUCAAGAUAAGCUACAAAGAAAUCACAAGUUGACAUUUAUCAUGAUGAUGAAAAGAAAACUACUGGACACCUCCAUUGUCCUUCAAAAGCUUAUUCUUGAUUUUAUUGAGUGUGGCUACAGAUUCUUGCAUAUUAAUCCUCUGUGCUGGUGAUUCUGCAGAACAAGCGAGAGCUAAUCUAAUGAUGGAUGAUAAGCAAUCCCUCCAGGUCUCAACAUCAUGCUCCUGCUUGGUCUUCUCGAGUAAAUUGGCAUCCACAACUUCAUCUAUUAUUGCAUCUGGUAAGAGUAGUGAAUUUGCAAUCCAUUGCUUUAAACUCAUUUUCCCAGAGAACAUCUCAUCGGUUGGCUUCCUUCUUGUAAAUGUUUCCAUCAGUACAAUACCAAAACUGUAUACAUCCCCUCUUGUUGAGAUUAUUCCUUCCGUUCCAUACUCUGCAAUAUUAUUAAUUACAUAUAUAUGAUGAAAAAAAAUUGUUGACCUUCUUCACAAAUUAAGGACAAGAUAUAGAAUUGAAAGAUAAACUAGCUUUGCAAGCACUCACCUGGAGCCAUGUACCCAAUUGUGGCUAGAGUCAUGGUCUGGGUUGUAGAAUCUCCUACACCCACGAGUUUAGCAAUGCCAAAAUCAGCAACAUGUGCAACCAUAUCAUCAUCUAGAAGUAUAUUGCUGGGCUUCAUAUCACAAUGGACGAUAGGUACUGAAUUACCAUGGUGUAGGUACUCCAAUGCCGACGCAACGUCUAUCAUGAUGUUCAUCCUUUGUAACAUAUUCAAAGAAUAGUUUUCUGAAUACAACCACUUCUCGAGGCUCCCAUUUGGCAUGUAAUUCAAUACUAAGGCUUUGAAAUCAAGUUCACUGCAACAGCUAAUGAUUUUGAUAAGGUUUCGAUGACGAAUAUUGCUUAGAAUUUCACAUUCCCUAUCAAAACUCUUGAAAGCCCCUUCUAGCUGUAAACUGAAAACCUUUACUGCAACAUAUGUUCCAUCUGAAAGUUUCCCUUUAUAUACUGAGCCAAAACCCCCACUUCCAAGUAAGUUGUUUUCGUUAAGUCCAUUUGUUGCCCUUAGAAGAUCUAGGUGUGAAACUCUUCUCCAAAGAAGUUGAGGCAACGAGUUUGCCUCUCUUGCAACUUCCACAUUCUUUUUCCUGCGUAGUACAAAGAUAGAUACGGAGGCCACUAGGAGAAUAACUGAUAUGAUCCCUGGGAUGAUAUAUUUAGCUUUCCUCCAAUUUGGUUCAAGUGUACCAUUUUUGCAUGGUGGAACAUGGAGUCGGGGUGCACCACAUAGUGCCCUGUUCGAGACAAAUGAUUGAGCAGAGAAGUUUUGGAAGGGUCCACCUGUUGGAAUUUGUCCUUGGAGCCUGUUGAAAGAAAAAUCCAGAUACUUGAGAUGUAAGAGAGCUUCUAAAGAACUCGGAAUCACUCCAGACAGACUGUUUCUGGAUAAAUCCAACAGUUCCAGGCUUAGCAAGUGGUUAAAUGAACUUGGAAUAGGGCCUUCCAAAUUAUUAUUUGCCAAGGACAGAUUAACCAAAUCCUGAAGACCCUCAAUGGUGCUUGGUAUAAUACCAGAUAAAUGGUUAUUUGAUAAAUCUACCUCUAGGACAACUUUCAAGUUUCCAAUACCUUCCGAGAGAGGUCCAAUUAGAGAAUUGGAUGAUAAGUUUACAUGCAAGAUAUCGACAAGUCUCCAAAAAUUAGAUGGUAUUGUGAAACUCAACGAAUUGGACUCUAGUGAUAGCCUCCUUAUAGAUGCCCCCAAGCAGGAUGGUAUAGAACCAGAAAGCUGAUUACUGCCCAAAACUAAUUCAACUAGUUUAUCUAGUUGACAAAGCUGAUAUGGGAUGUAUCCUUCCAACUUGUUGUCAUUCAAAUACAAACCUUGGAGAUUUCUUAGCCUUUCCACAGAAGUUGGAAUUGAUCCGGUCAAUUGAUUGUAUCCCAGGUUUAACUCUAUCAAGCUGCUCGAGUUGCCAAUAUCAAUGGGAAUGUUACCCUUCAUGCUGCAACCUCUUAAAUCAAUAUGUUGAAGCGACGAUAUAGAGCAAUUCCGAAAGGAAUCAUCAAGUCUAGCAUUUAACGGAUUAGUUCCCAAGAGUAGUCUUGUCAAAUUUCCAUGAUUAGCCAAACAAGAGAGAGUGGAAGUCUCAAUCGUCAAAUUAUUCAUGCAUAAGUUAAGGCACUCAAGGUUUGUCAAGGCACAGAGCGUGCUUGGAAUAAACCCUGUAAAAGAGUUUUGGUGCAAUUGUAGGUGCGUGAGCAUAGAAGCAUUGGAGAAGUUGGGGAUUACUCCGCUGAGGUCAUUUGCUUCUGUAUAAAAAAGUUGUAGGUUUGGAAGCCCAAGGCCUAUGUCUGCAGGGAGGCUACCAGAUAGCUGAUUCAUACCAAGAGUCAGUUCUUCUAUCUUGGACAUAUUGAAGAUUGAGGAUGGGAUACUGCCUGCAACAAUUUCACAACCCCUUGAGCAAAACACGUUUACGUAAGUUCUAGUCAUCAAUUGGCUGCAUGUGUCUUUAUGCUCCUUCUUUUUUUUCUUUUUUCUUUUUUUUUUUACUUCCAUAGAACCUUUAUCGGGCAAGUCAAUCUAUUUUAUUCUGAUCAUAUAGUUGAACAACCAAUAUUCAUGGUUAACUAUCUCCCCCAUUUACUAACUAUGAAAUAAAUUUAACUACUAAACUAAGAUAUGAAACAAGACAGACAUUUAACUAAGUUGGUUAAAAUGGAUGUGCUCCCUACUCUGCAACUGAGUUCGAACCCUCUCUUCUUAAUUUAGAUUACAUUAAAGUAGAAUAUCAUCGUUUGUAUUCUAUAUAUAUAUAUGAAACAAUUUUUUGGGGGGUACAAACUACGAAAUAGUUAAAUAAUGAUAAAUUAUGCAACUAAACACAAAAGAUAAAUCAUAAUUGGAUAACAUAAUGAAAUAUCAAUUACCUGUCAAAUUGUUGGUGUCAAGUGUAAUCAUCAUUAACUGUGUUAAGUUCCCAAUAUUUUUGGGUAUGCUUCCAUUGAAAUUGUUUUUCUCCAACGAUAAUAUAAGAAGCUCUUUGCAUUGCCAUAAUUUGGAUGGAAGUGGACCAUCAAAGUGGUUAAGACCCAAAUCGAGCACUUGAAUACUAGGAAGAUGCUGGCAUAUAUUGUCUGGAAGAACGCCACUCAAGCUGUUUUCAUAUAGAGUCAACAUAGUCAAAGAAGACAUGUUGAAAACAGCCACAGGAACAGGGCCUUUUAGGGCAUUAGACAGCACAUGCAACUUCUCGAGCUUAUCUAAAUUGCCAAUCUCUUUUGGAAUUUCUGAAAAUCAUACGGAUAUUCACACACACAUAUAUAUAUAUAUAUGUUAAACUCAUGGUUUAUGCAUAUAUAAUGCACCGCAACAAAAGUCGAGUCAUAUAUAACUUUAUCACAUACAAAUGCGCGGCAAUGAAUGAAACAAUAUACCGUUGAAAUUGUUGUGGGCCAAGUUUAUCUUCUUCAACAUUGUUAAGUUCCCUAAUUGUCUUGGUAUCCCACCUGUUAUGUAUGCCAAAGAGUUAGAAUAUAUUUGAAUAUAUGUUAGGUUUUGUUUAGCUACUGUUUUUAGCUUUCCUUGACAAAUAUAUAAUCUCAUAUGUAUAAUCAAACUCAAAGAAUUUAGGCUAGUUUAAGUUAGUGCUAAGUUGACUACAUUGGCUGAGAUCAACUUCAUAAUUGCCCAAUGCAAUCAAGCUUAGUGAAGGUAAGAUUUUUAUAAAUGCAUUGCAUGCAUUAUAGUAUUCUCCAGCAUGCAUCAUUAGUUGUCAUGUAUUAAUUCCUCAUAGCUCAUCUUUAGAAAAUAGGACUUGGGUAUUUGCUAGAAAGUUGAGGUACAUUGAAGAGCUGAUGAGGCUACAAAAUCAAGAUAAUUUGUGCAUUCAUUUAUAAUGGGCAUAAUUAGGAAAAUCAUCAGCUGCAUCACAAUUCUUUGUCUAGAUGACCAGUCAUAUAGGCCAAAUGUUUCCAGCACGGGAUUUUUAAUCAAAGUGACGUUUUCUAAUUUGUCAAUUUUAAAAAAUCACGUGAGCUUAUUUUUUAAGCCACCUGUGGUCUGUUACCGAACCACUUGUCCUAUUCUAGCUCUUAGCAUUAGCUGCCAUGUGUUUUUUAAGGAUGCCUUAAUUUAUCAAAAGGGUGGAUGAUGGUAGAGGGCAACCAACACUUUCAUUUGUGAUUGUUGAGAGGCAUUUUGUUGGCCUUGCCAUUUUCAGUGAGAGGUGUUCAUGGGUUCUUGAGAGCUGGGUUUUUCAACGGAAAAAAAAUAUUUUCCAGAUUCUAUUUCAAUGGUCUGAAAUCUUAAGCACUCGUGCAUUUUAGAAAGUUUUGAGAGUUUCUUACUUUUCUGCAUUCUCUAUGUGAGAUCUAAGUUUUUCAUUAUGAGAUCUUGAAAAUUAUUUUUCUAAAAUAUGCUUCGAUCUUUGAAACUUUUGUCACCCUUUGAGAAUUUUUUGAGAGUAAAACUUAUACUAUGCAUUCUCUCUACUUUGUGAAGUAUGUGUUGUUCAUUAUGAGAUUUUGAAAAUUGUUUUUAAAAUAUGUUCUAAUCCUUGAAAUCUAUUUCCUUAGAGAGAGAGAGAGAGAGAGAGAGAGAGAGAGAGAGUGUGUGUUUUGAGGGCUUUUUCUUCCUCUGCAUUUUCUUCUCUAAGUGAGGUUGUGAUUUUAAAAUGAGGUUUUAGAUUUUAAAAUCUUCUUUGGUUUAGAAAUCUGCAUCUAGGAGAAUCAUACACACUAUCAUCUAGAUCUAGGUAAGAUUCUUUGUUGGUUUCUUUAAGAAGAUGGUUUCUUGAAGAAAUUGACUCUUCGAUUUUAGAAUCUAUAGUUCUCUUAUAUGUUACUGUCUUGAGCUGAGUUGUGGUGCCAUGGGGAGAAGAAGCUGAUGGACUAGCUAUCAUUUCCAUAAAGAACAAGUUACUAGCUCAACUAAGUUUAGAGAAGAAGGUUGCACAAGGAAGUAGUGCUCAUUUCCUAAAUAGACCUAGGAUUGUUUGAGCCUGUGAUUACUUUUUCUGUAAGAAUCUUCUUGACUUAGUGGAUUGCCUGGUCGGAGUAAUGCCCCCAAUUUUUCCCAGUGCUGCAUUUCUAGGUGAAUAUUAUUUAUGAAAUGUUGAUAAAUGUUCACACACCUUUUACUCUAGUUGUUGCUAGCAUAGGGGAUGCUUAAAUUGAUAGGUCUUUCUAAGUGCUUAGGUUGUCACGUAGUUAUCUUAUAGGCUUCCAGGUUCUUAUAUUUGAUUUGUGAAGAGUAUGUGUUUUGCUUGUCUUUUCAUAGGUCUAUGACUAGUAUUUGACUAGUCAUAUUGUUACUAAGAAUGGUUGAUCAUUGUUGCAUUCGUGUUUUAAUUUACCCUAUUCACCUAAGUACCAAUUUCAAUAUAUAAUCUAGUCACUUGCAACUCAAAUAGUGUAAACAGAAAUUCAUGCCCUUUUUUAUUACGAAAGUAUUUUUGCUCAUCAAUUUAACCUAAUGUGUACCCUCACCACCAAAAUUUGACAUAUGUCCCUGACUAUAACCAUAGUUAAGGUAUUUUAUUUUCACAUGUUUUUAAAUCUUUUAAAGUAUUUAAAAUUAUUGGAUGAGAGAGUUUUUUUUUCUUUUUCUAAAUGUUAUUUUAUUAUCAUUAUCGGAUUUUUUUAAAUUAGAGGUAAUUACAAUUUUGAUUAUUGGGAUUAUGGUCGUAUUUAAUUUUGUUCACCGCACUUUCAAUUUUCCGAUUUUGGUCAUCACGCCUUGUAUCAUUAGCAAAUCAAGUCCAAUUAAGAUAUUCCGUCAAUUAAGACGCACCACAUGCGUACGCGCAGAGGCAAUAUUGCCCUUUCGCCCCUAACCCAACUCUCUCCCUCUGCAACCGUACGCUUUCUCUUCCCCCGUUCUCUCUCUACAACUUCUCCAUGUCCAUCCUCCCCCACAAUCUCUCAAUCUUCAGAGCACUCCUUUCCAUUAAAACAGUGCAAUUGAAGACAACGAUCCAAACAAAUCCCACACAAUGCACGCCAAGACCGACUACUAGCCUCGCUCCAUCGUCCCCCACUGUCACUCCUCCAUCAGCCGCCACUCAUGCGAGUCCUCCUCCACUCUGUUCUCCGAGUCCCUCAAAAUCAUCAACUUUUAUACAUAUAGCUUCUCCAUCCAUGUGUCUGUGUAUUAUUCCCAUUUCAAUUCAUUCCUCUCCCAAUUUAGGGUUCUUUAUUUGUGACAGAGAAAAUUAUUUAGGAACGCUUGUGAAUGAAUUCAUAAAUUAUUUAAUUUUCCUUUGUGGUAGAUCCUAUAGCUAGCUACAAAAGAAGCAAAAUUGUUGGAUACUUGCUUGGUGUUCUAGGUUGGUUUAUCUUUUUGUUCCAGCUGUGGACGAUGUUGGUAGUGUAGAGGAAUUUUGUUGCUUCAUCAAUUGGUUUUGAUCUUCUUCUCUAAUUCCGAAAAGUUGUGCGCCAAGGAAGAUUCUUAGGCCCCAUUUGGUUCAUGGAAAAGGAGAUUUGGGAAUGAGAAAUCAAUUACUUUCUCAUGUUUGGUAAGUCCAGGCAUGGGAAAUCGUUGUCUGGCCCAUGGGAAAGUAUAGGGAAAGUGAAGCCAUCCUCCCAACUUGGAUUUUGUUUUCCCUUCUCAUGGGAAAGUUUGGGGAAAUUAACCAACAUUAAAUACACAUUUUUCAUGACCAUUUUGUCCCCAUUAACAAUUUAGAAUUACAAUAUAUCAUUAAAUGCAUUCUUGUUUUAUUUAAUUUAAUAUGGGUAUAAUUGAAAAUUUGUACAAACUUUGUUUUCCAUUCUUACUCAAAACAAGCAUGAGAAAGGAAAUAAAGUGCUAUCUCCCGAUUACUUUCCCGGCAUUACCAAAUGUGGGAAAUGAAUCUGUCAUUUCCCAUCUCUUGGAAAAUGACAUGGGAAAUGAUUUUCUCUCAAAUUCAUUCCAUGAACCAAACGGGGCCUUAGGGAUAGGGAUUGGAUGGGGGUGGGAGAAACGGGGAUGGUGGUUGGGUUGUUUUUUUUAAAAUUUUUUUUUUUUAAUUUCCUUUAGGUUUUUUAAAAUUUUAUUUAUUAAUGAUUUAAAUAGUGGAAGUACAAUUUUGCCCCUGCACACACUUAGCACGUGCAAUUAAGCUGACAGAAUUAAGAGAUGUGACUUGAUUUGUUGAUGACACAAAGUGUGAUGACCAAAAUCGGAAAAUUGAAAGUGCAGUGACUAAAAUUAAAUUCGACCCCAACCCCAUGACCAAAAUUGUAACUACCCUUUUUAAUUAGUUUAAAGACUUAAAAACAAAUAGUUAAUCAUGAUUAUAACAAUGGAUAGAUAUCAAAUUUUGAAAAGGGUAGUGAGGAGAAACACUUGUGUGCAACGGGGCUAUGUCAUGCAUAAUAACUUUUUCACUUGGCAUAGUGUGAUUGAUUGAGGAUAGCAAAACAGUGCUAUCCCUGUUUUAAUAUUAAUUUUUCUGAAUAUGGAUGAUAUACAUUGGAUUCAAGUGGUGAGCAAAAAUAUUCCCUUUUUUAUUACUAGCUGCAACCCAAAAUUAAAACAUGCAUGCCAUGUAGGAUUAGUUGUUGUCCAUAUGAUUCAUUCUUUAUAAUUCAUGCAUUAUCUCCCCAUACCCAACGAGUCUUUAUGAAAAAUAUAAUCUAUUCAAGUGAGAAUUUUUUAGUACUGGAUGAGCUGCAAUAAAGAAAAAUUGUGGCUAAUUUUCUAAGGAAAAAGAACAAAUCGGAAUAAUUUAGCUUAUUUAUAGAUUAAUAACAAGAUGUUAAAAAGGUAAUAAUCAAUCAAAAUAUAGUGUAGAUAACUUGUUGAUACAUACGUACCUGAUAGCUGAUUGUUGCUUAGAUCAAUUUCUUGCAGUGCAUAUAAGUUGAAGAUUGCCGAAGGUAUGGAACCUGAAUUUAGAACGGACACAUACCAUGUAGAAUUAAUCAUAUAUUAUUAAUGAUUUACUAUCUAUGUCAUUAUCCCCCAAUACCCAACAAGUUUUUAUCAUAUAUAGCCUUAGCAUAUAUGUAGUCCCUAGUUUCAUUAAUGUAAGUUUUGUACAAACUUUCAAAUAUAGUAAAAAAAAAAAAAAAUUCCAACAUGAAUAGACCCAACUACCCUGACAAUUAAAAACCAAAUACAUAAUCUCUUUAAAGUGAGAGUUCUUUAGUAUUGCAUGACCUGCAAGUAAUAAAAACGGAGUCUAAUUUUCUAAAGAAAAAAGAACAAACUGGACUUAUAGAUUAAUAUCAAAAUGUUUAAAACGUAACGAUAGGCCAACAGUAAGGUCUAGAUAACCUGUUGACACAUACGUACCUGAUAGUUGAUUAAUGCUUAGAUCAAUUACUUGUAGUGUAGAUAAGUUGAAGAUAGUCGCAGGUAUGGAACCUGAAAAAUUAUUACCAUACAGAUAGAAGCUUUGAAGUUUGGGGAAGGACCCAAACCACGAUGGAAUGGAUCCCGUAAAAUUGUUGUAUCCGAAGCUAAUAAACCUCAAGCGACGCAAAUAAGACAAUUCAUGGGGCAAAGUACUAUGGAAGCUGUUAUUGUCGAAGCUUAGUGCAACAAGGAAUGAGAGGUUGCCUAAGUGUGGUGGAAUGGUGCCAAUAAAACCCAUGUAUGAGAGAUUCAAUGAUGCUACUCUGAGAUGGCGAGCACCACAAGUAACGCCAACCCAGUUGCAGAAGGAGGUGGUGGUUGACCAGUUCACCAAGAUGUUGUGAGGGUCACUGGUGAUAUGGGAUCUCAGAGCAAGAAGAGCGGCCUGGUCCGUGGUGAUGUUGGUUUGCGUUGCAUCUGUGCCGAUAGUUAAUUCAGCCACAUAUAGAGAACUGUACUGCAGCACCAGCAAGAACGUGAUUGACAAGAGGAAAUGACUUCUCUCCUCCAUGAGCACCGAAAACAGAGAAGUUUCCCUUCUAACUGCAAAGUGUGUUUCCUUUUUCUUUUUUUCGCAAUUGAAAAUUGAAAUCAUUGAAUAAUAGUAGUUGCAAACAGAGACAAGUUGGCAAUGAGAGUGGGGCACAUGAUUGCACCGUGAGGGAUGGAAUCCUUGUCCUAAAGGCAUCUGUUUCCGACACGGCACGGCGUUUCCCCUAUGCAACGACGAAGACUUAGGAAGAAUUGACAAUUGGGCAUCCUCUUUCUGCACAUCUUCUUCACAAAUUAAUGUACGGGA